Molecule: ribosomal RNA, 405 nt
Filed under: Triticum aestivum (bread wheat)
Lineage: Eukaryota; Viridiplantae; Streptophyta; Magnoliopsida; Poales; Poaceae
Description: partial small subunit ribosomal RNA
Source: RNAcentral
AUGAAGAUUGUGGCAGCUGACGAGCCAAGGACGAGCAGGAGGUACGCACUGCUGCUGGCGGCCCGGGACUCGGAGUACGUGCUCAAGGUGUACGGCGGCUACUUCAAUGUCUUCGUGAGUGCGUUUGGCUCUGGCGACGACGGCGAUGGCAACGGCGACGUCUGCGAGACGUGGGACAUGUUCCGGGCGAUGUUCUGCGUCGGCGACCACGUGCUGGGAAUCCAGGGCCACCCGGAGUACACCGGCGACAUACUCCUCAGCCUCGUCGACCGCCUCUCCACCAGCCAAUCCAUCACCGUGUCGUUCGCUAAGGACGUGAAGAGGCAGCUGGAGGCUACUAGCGCUGACAGGGAGUUCUGGCUCAACCUCUGCAAAAGUUUCCUGAAGGCUGAAGAAUUGUACUAG